GUCCCUUUCGAGACAUCCGUAAAGUUGGAACGAUACAAGGAAGAUUAGCAUGUCCCCUGCUCAAGAACGACACAGAAAAUCGAGAAUUGGUCAAAUUUUUU
Molecule: small nuclear RNA, 101 nt
Filed under: Nicotiana attenuata
Lineage: Eukaryota; Viridiplantae; Streptophyta; Magnoliopsida; Solanales; Solanaceae
Source: RNAcentral